This 2930-nucleotide ribosomal RNA is filed under the name Enterobacter bugandensis. RNAcentral describes it as "bacterial LSU rRNA". It matches the Rfam family "Bacterial large subunit ribosomal RNA". Lineage: Bacteria; Pseudomonadati; Pseudomonadota; Gammaproteobacteria; Enterobacterales; Enterobacteriaceae. The record is from RNAcentral.
GGGUUGUGAGGUUAAGCGACUAAGCGUACACGGUGGAUGCCCUGGCAGUCAGAGGCGAUGAAGGACGUGCUAAUCUGCGAAAAGCGACGGCGAGGUGAUAUGAACCCUUGACCCGUCGAUGUCCGAAUGGGGAAACCCAGUGUGUUUCGACACACUAUCGUUAACUGAAUACAUAGGUUAACGAGGCGAACCGGGGGAACUGAAACAUCUAAGUACCCCGAGGAAAAGAAAUCAACCGAGAUUCCCCCAGUAGCGGCGAGCGAACGGGGAGCAGCCCGGAGUCUGAAUCAGCUUGUGUGUUAGUGGAAGCGUCUGGAAAGUCGCACGGUACAGGGUGACAGUCCCGUACACGAAAGCACACAGGUUGUGAACUCGAAGAGUAGGGCGGGACACGUGGUAUCCUGUCUGAAUAUGGGGGGACCAUCCUCCAAGGCUAAAUACUCCUGACUGACCGAUAGUGAACCAGUACCGUGAGGGAAAGGCGAAAAGAACCCCGGCGAGGGGAGUGAAAAAGAACCUGAAACCGUGUACGUACAAGCAGUGGGAGCACCUUCGUGGUGUGACUGCGUACCUUUUGUAUAAUGGGUCAGCGACUUAUAUUCUGUAGCAAGGUUAACCGUAUAGGGGAGCCGCAGGGAAACCGAGUCUUAACUGGGCGUUAAGUUGCAGGGUAUAGACCCGAAACCCGGUGAUCUAGCCAUGGGCAGGUUGAAGGUUGGGUAACACUAACUGGAGGACCGAACCGACUAAUGUUGAAAAAUUAGCGGAUGACCUGUGGCUGGGGGUGAAAGGCCAAUCAAACCGGGAGAUAGCUGGUUCUCCCCGAAAGCUAUUUAGGUAGCGGCACGUGAAUUCGUCUUCGGGGGUAGAGCACUGUGUCGUCUAGGGGGCCAUCCCGGCGUACCAACCCGAUGCAAACUACAAAUACCGAAGAAUGUUAUCACGGGAGACACACGGCGGAUGCUAACGUCCGUCGUGAAGAGGGAAACAACCCAGACCGCCAGCUAAGGUCCCAAAGUCAUGGUUAAGUGGGAAACGAUGUGGGAAGGCACAGACAGCCAGGAUGUUGGCUUAGAAGCAGCCAUCAUUUAAAGAAAGCGUAAUAGCUCACUGGUCGAGUCGGCCUGCGCGGAAGAUGUAACGGGGCUAAACCAUGCACCGAAGCUGCGGCAGCGACACUAUGUGUUGUUGGGUAGGGGAGCGUUCUGUAAGCCGUUGAAGGUGUGCUGUGAGGCAUGCUGGAGGUAUCAGAAGUGCGAAUGCUGACAUAAGUAACGAUAAAGCGGGUGAAAAGCCCGCUCGCCGGAAGACCAAGGGUUCCUGUCCAACGUUAAUCGGGGCAGGGUGAGUCGACCCCUAAGGCGAGGCCGAAAGGCGUAGUCGAUGGGAAACAGGUUAAUAUUCCUGUACUUGGUGUUACUGCGAAGGGGGGACGGAGAAGGCUAUGUCAGCCGGGCGACGGUUGUCCCGGUUUAAGCGUGUAGGUGUGUGUUCCAGGCAAAUCCGGUUCACUUUAACACUGAGGCGUGAUGACGAGGCACUACGGUGCUGAAGUGAUAAAUGCCCUGCUUCCAGGAAAAGCCUCUAAGCAUCAGGUAACACGAAAUCGUACCCCAAACCGACACAGGUGGUCAGGUAGAGAAUACCAAGGCGCUUGAGAGAACUCGGGUGAAGGAACUAGGCAAAAUGGUGCCGUAACUUCGGGAGAAGGCACGCUGAUAUGUAGGUGAAGUCCCUGCGGACGGAGCUGAAAUCAGUCGAAGAUACCAGCUGGCUGCAACUGUUUAUUAAAAACACAGCACUGUGCAAACACGAAAGUGGACGUAUACGGUGUGACGCCUGCCCGGUGCCGGAAGGUUAAUUGAUGGGGUUAGCGGCAACGCGAAGCUCUUGAUCGAAGCCCCGGUAAACGGCGGCCGUAACUAUAACGGUCCUAAGGUAGCGAAAUUCCUUGUCGGGUAAGUUCCGACCUGCACGAAUGGCGUAAUGAUGGCCAGGCUGUCUCCACCCGAGACUCAGUGAAAUUGAACUCGCUGUGAAGAUGCAGUGUACCCGCGGCAAGACGGAAAGACCCCGUGAACCUUUACUAUAGCUUGACACUGAACACUGGUCCUUGAUGUGUAGGAUAGGUGGGAGGCUUUGAAGCGUGGACGCCAGUCUGCGUGGAGCCGUCCUUGAAAUACCACCCUUUAAUGGCUGGUGUUCUAACGUGGACUCGUGAUCCGGGUUGCGGACCGUGUCUGGUGGGUAUCUUGACUGGGGCGGUCUCCUCCCAAAGAGUACAGGAGGAGCACGAAGGUUAGCUAAUCCUGGGCGGACCUCAGGUGGUUAGUGCAAUGGCCUAAGCUAGCUUGACUGCGAGAGUGACGGCUCGAGCAGGUGCGAAAGCAGGUCAUAGUGAUCCGGUGGUUCUGAAUGGAAGGGCCAUCGCUCAACGGAUAAAAGGUACUCCGGGGAUAACAGGCUGAUACCGCCCAAGAGUUCAUAUCGACGGCGGUGUUUGGCACCUCGAUGUCGGCUCAUCACAUCCUGGGGCUGAAGUAGGUCCCAAGGGUAUGGCUGUUCGCCAUUUAAAGUGGUACGCGAGCUGGGUUUAGAACGUCGUGAGACAGUUCGGUCCCUAUCUGCCGUGGGCGCUGGAGAAUUGAGGGGGGCUGCUCCUAGUACGAGAGGACCGGAGUGGACGCAUCACUGGUGUUCGGGUUGUCAUGCCAAUGGCACUGCCCGGUAGCUAAAUGCGGAAGAGAUAAGUGCUGAAAGCAUCUAAGCACGAAACUUGCCCCGAGAUGAGUUCUCCCUGAGACUAUAAGUCUCCUGAAGGAACGUUGAAGACGACGACGUUGAUAGGCCGGGUGUGUAAGCGCAGCGAUGCGUUGAGCUAACCGGUACUAAUGAACCGUGAGGCUUAACCUUACAACGCCGAAGCUGUU